GACGUAGGGUGCGAGCGUUGUCCGGAUUUAUUGGGCGUAAAGAGCUCGUAGGCGGCUCGUCGCGUCGACCGUGAAAACCCGCGGCUUAACUGCGGGCUUGCGGUUGAUACGGGCGGGCUAGAGUUCGGUAGGGGAGACUGGAAUUCCUGGUGUAGCGGUGAAAUGCGCAGAUAUCAGGAGGAACACCGGUGGCGAAAGCGAUCCGCUGGCCCUCUACUGACGCUGAGGCGCGAAAGCCAGGGGAGCAAACGGG
This 253-nucleotide ribosomal RNA is filed under the name uncultured bacterium. Its description in RNAcentral is "partial 16S ribosomal RNA". It matches the Rfam family "Bacterial small subunit ribosomal RNA", at positions 524 to 776 of the family's 1533-position model. The record is from RNAcentral.